Spinacia oleracea (spinach) is the source of this 1494-nucleotide RNA transcript. RefSeq lists it as uncharacterized. The record is from RefSeq and is a predicted model, not a curated record. Lineage: Eukaryota; Viridiplantae; Streptophyta; Magnoliopsida; Caryophyllales; Amaranthaceae. The transcript has 5 exons.
UUUGUUCUCUCUCUCUCCUCCAUCAGAUCUCAAACCUCGCUUCUCCUUCGAUCUUCGCCGUCUUCGCUUCUCAAACCUCACUGACCGCACAAUCUCUCUCAACUCACGCCUUUUCUCUCUCCUCUAAACUCCAUGGUAAUUCUGCAACUCCCAAACCCUAGAAAUUCAAUGAAGAACCCUAACAAAUUUCGAAGAUCUAGAUUCCUCAUUGUGGAAAUUAAAACAACGAUGCAGGCGCACAAAGUACGGAUUGCAAAAUAGGGUUCCAAAUCAAGACGGCAUGUCGAUUCUCGCAGCGGAGAUGGCAACAGCGGGCUUCUCCUCCGCCGGGCUCUCCCAAACCCUCCAAACCCUACAAUAAAAAAUGAAAUGCGAUCCAUAAAGCUAUGAAUCCGAAUUACAGUAUCUUUACAAAUAAUUCAAAUCCUUACUCAAGCUUUUCGCGGAUCAAGCGGCUCUCAGCUUCAAUUCAGUUAGCGGCAUUGCCUCUGACACACCUUGGUGAUAAGGCCAUGUUCUUGGCUCACAUGACUCCGUUUUACCCUAAGGAGCUCACCGUUCUUCUUCGAACUUCCGGGAAGUCAUUGUGGGAAUUUAAUGAUCAGGACAGGAAAGCGUUAGAAGAAGACCCUUCCGUAUUUGAUUAUGAUGAUAUAAAAUCGAAAAUGGUUCAGCUGAAAGCCGAAAAUAAGCAGCAGCGCCAGUUAUUUGAACAAAUGGAAUGAAUAAGAAUGAAAAUGCAACACAAAUCCAACAGAGCAUCUACAUCUGGCACGACUACAUGUAUAUUCAAAUUUGCACUUAUGUUCAACUUUUAGGUUGAAGUCGAAGGAUGACUCUGUUAUAUUUUUUGAGAGAAUAUCAUGUGAGGAAUCCGAAAAAGUUGAGAUGAUUAGCUUCGAGAAGAGCAGUGAUACGACGCCCUGUCAACUCAUCGCUCGAUGCUUAUGGCUUUUGUUGUUGCUCAAAACUGUGAGAUAAAGGUUAAGAACUUGGAUUGUUGAUUGUAAAAGAGUUGCCACAAAAGUAACAUGCAACCUUAUCUUCAUCCGUGAAGAUGAAAGACUGGAGCAAAGCGUGAAUCUCCUAAAUGCCGUCACUUGAUUGACAUUAGUGAUGUAAGACAAAGUUUCCACCUGCUGUUCUAAACCUAUCAUAUCAGUAAUUUGGUUACAGUAGCAAGAUUUUAACCUAUAAGAGAAUCCUGAUGGCAGUAAAUGUGCCUGCUUUUGCGGCAGAAACAAACUAUUUUAUAUUUUUAGUUACUUUGGUACUAAGAUUUGGAUUUUUAGUCAUGUAAGCGCAUGAAUAUUAAAUUGUUUUACUAUUUAGAUUUUUUUAAAUAGGGACGAUUAAUUUUUUUUAGGUGUAUUUUGUGAUCAUUUUUUUCUUGCAUAGUGCUCCAUAUUUUUGUAAUACUACAAUCUCCAUUAUAUUCGCACGCAUCUCACGGUUUUAGGGGAUUUUUUUUUCUUUUUUCUUUUUUUGCUAAAA